UACAGAGGUCUCAAGCGUUGUUCGGAUUCAUUGGGCGUAAAGGGUGCGUAGGCGGCGCGGGUAAGUCGGGGUGUGAAAAUCUCGGGAGCUUAACUCCCGAAAACUGCAUUCGAUACUGCCCGUGCUUGAGGACUGGAGAGGAGACUGGAAUUUACGGUGUAGCGGUGAAAUGCGUAGAUAUCGUAAGGAAGACCAGUGGCGAAGGCGGGUCUCUGGACAGUUCCUGACGCUGAGGCACGAAGGGUCAGGGGGAGCAAACGGG
RNAcentral lists this ribosomal RNA (262 nucleotides) under uncultured bacterium. RNAcentral's name for it is "partial 16S ribosomal RNA". It matches the Rfam family "Bacterial small subunit ribosomal RNA", at positions 524 to 776 of the family's 1533-position model. The record is from RNAcentral.